AUUGAACGCUGGCGGCAGGCUUAACACAUGCAAGUCGAACGAUGAUUAUCUAGCUUGCUAGAUAUGAUUAGUGGCGGACGGGUGAGUAACAUUUAGGAAUCUGCCUAGUAGUGGGGGAUAGCUCGGGGAAACUCGAAUUAAUACCGCAUACGACCUACGGGUGAAAGGGGGCGCAAGCUCUUGCUAUUAGAUGAGCCUAAAUCAGAUUAGCUAGUUGGUGGGGUAAAGGCCCACCAAGGCGACGAUCUGUAACUGGUCUGAGAGGAUGAUCAGUCACACCGGAACUGAGACACGGUCCGGACUCCUACGGGAGGCAGCAGUGGGGAAUAUUGGACAAUGGGGGCAACCCUGAUCCAGCCAUGCCGCGUGUGUGAAGAAGGCCUUUUGGUUGUAAAGCACUUCAAGCAGGGAGGAGAGGCUAAUGGUUAAUACCCAUUAGAUUAGACGUUACCUGCAGAAUAAGCACCGGCUAACUCUGUGCCAGCAGCCGCGGUAAUACAGAGGGUGCGAGCGUUAAUCGGAAUUACUGGGCGUAAAGCGAGUGUAGGUGGCUCAUUAAGUCACAUGUGAAAUCCCCGGGCUUAACCUGGGAACUGCAUGUGGUACUGGUGGUGCUAGAAUAUGUGAGAGGGAAGUAGAAUUCCAGGUGUAGCGGUGAAAUGCGUAGAGAUCUGGAGGAAUACCGAUGGCGAAGGCAGCUUCCUGGCAUAAUAUUGACACUGAGAUUCGAAAGCGUGGGUAGCAAACAGGAUUAGAUACCCUGGUAGUCCACGCCGUAAACGAUGUCUACUAGCCGUUGGGGUCCUUGAGACUUUAGUGGCGCAGUUAACGCGAUAAGUAGACCCGCCUGGGGAGUACGGGCCGCAGGGUUAAAACUCAAAUGAAUUGACGGGGGCCCCGCACAAGCGGUGGAGCAUGUGUGUUUAAUUCGAUGCAACGCGAAGAACCUUACCUGGUCUUGACAUAGUGAGAAUCCUGCAGAGAUGCGGGAGUGCCUUCGGGAAUUCACAUACAGGUGCUGCAUGGCUGUCGUCAGCUCGUGUCGUGAGAUGUUGGGUUAAGUCCCGCAACGAGCGCAACCCUUUUCCUUAUUUGCCAGCGGGUUAAGCCGGGAACUUUAAGGAUACUGCCAGUGACAAACUGGAGGAAGGCGGGGACGACGUCAAGUCAUCAUGGCCCUUACGACCAGGGCUACACACGUGCUACAAUGGUAGGUACAGAGGGUUGCUACACAGCGAUGUGAUGCUAAUCUCAAAAAGCCUAUCGUAGUCCGGAUUGGAGUCUGCAACUCGACUCCAUGAAGUCGGAAUCGCUAGUAAUCGCAGAUCAGAAUGCUGCGGCGAAUAAAGUCCCGGGCCU
RNAcentral lists this ribosomal RNA (1359 nucleotides) under uncultured bacterium. RNAcentral's name for it is "bacterial SSU rRNA". It matches the Rfam family "Bacterial small subunit ribosomal RNA", at positions 28 to 1381 of the family's 1533-position model. The record is from RNAcentral.